CAGAUGCAAGUUCAUCACUUCCAUCAGCACAAUCCUCCCAACCAUCACAAAGAGCAGAACCAGAAAUACAAACACCAUUACCAAUGCAUUGAAAUUGAUCUGGACGACAACAAUGUGCUUCAUCUAGACCAUCAUGACAGUAUACAAUCUUUUGUUACUGCAGAACUAGGUGCAGCACAAGUAAAAUGAUCUGUUCCACAAGCUGGCGCAGCUCUACAAGUUUUUUCAUCUUCGGAUAAAACCAAAGAUUUUGGACAAGAACAUCUAAAAAUAAUAUUUUUAUAAUGAAUUUUUCUAAUGAAAAAAUGCACAGUGACUAUAUUCAAUUUUUAUUAGUUUUCUUCAUUUUUGUAACUUUUUGAUUUUAUAUUUUAUUUAAUAACUUUUAUAUAUUAAAAGACAUACCUAGAAGAAAUAGUUCCUAUACAAAAAUGUGAACAUCCUCCAUAAUCUCGAAAAGGACUACAAAUAUGUGUUUUCAUUAUAUCAUCUUGUGGAGUAUUUAUUGUAAUUAAAUCUGUGAGCACUUUA
Apis mellifera (honey bee) is the source of this 531-nucleotide long non-coding RNA. RefSeq lists it as uncharacterized. Lineage: Eukaryota; Metazoa; Arthropoda; Insecta; Hymenoptera; Apidae. The transcript has 2 exons. The record is from RefSeq and is a predicted model, not a curated record.